UCGUGCAUUGCAAAUUUUUCA
Molecule: non-coding RNA, 21 nt
Filed under: Caenorhabditis elegans
Lineage: Eukaryota; Metazoa; Nematoda; Chromadorea; Rhabditida; Rhabditidae
Source: RNAcentral